AUUGAACGCUGGCGGCAUGCUUUACACAUGCAAGUCGGACGGCAGCACAGAGAAGCUUGCUUCUUGGGUGGCGAGUGGCGAACGGGUGAGUAAUAUAUCGGAACGUACCGAGUAAUGGGGGAUAACUAAUCGAAAGAUUAGCUAAUACCGCAUAUUCUCUGAGGAGGAAAGCAGGGGACCUUCGGGCCUUGCGUUAUUCGAGCGGCCGAUAUCUGAUUAGCUAGUUGGUGGGGUAAAGGCCUACCAAGGCGACGAUCAGUAGCGGGUCUGAGAGGAUGAUCCGCCACACUGGGACUGAGACACGGCCCAGACUCCUGCGGGGGGCAGCAGGGGGGAUUUUUGAACAAGGGGCGCAAGCUUGAUCCACCCAUGCCGGGUGGUGAAAGAAGGCCUUGGGGUUGUAAAGCACUUUUGUGAGGGAAGAAAAGGUGGUGGUUAAUAUCGACAUGUUAUGACGGUACCUAAAGAAUAAGCACGGGCUAACUACGUG
RNAcentral lists this ribosomal RNA (490 nucleotides) under uncultured bacterium. RNAcentral's name for it is "partial 16S ribosomal RNA". It matches the Rfam family "Bacterial small subunit ribosomal RNA", at positions 30 to 507 of the family's 1533-position model. The record is from RNAcentral.